AUGAAUGGAAGGGGCUUCCACAAGGUUAAUGAAGCCCUCUUCACCUUGCUCUCGAAGCGAGCGGACGCACAAACACUUUUCGAUUACCGGCCCAUCAGCCUCAUUCACCUCUCCAAGCUUGUCGCGAAGGUGCUCUUCCUUAGACUGGCACCACGAUUGGGACACAUGGUGUCCACCAAUCAAAGCGCGUUUAUUGCGGGGCGUUGCAUCCACGAUAAUUUCCUCUUGGUGCAAAAGACCGCUCGCCUCCUUCACAACGUUAGGACGCCGCGCAUGCUCCUCAAGCUUGAUAUUGCACGGGCCUUCGAUAGCGUCUCCUGA
RNAcentral lists this ribosomal RNA (321 nucleotides) under Triticum aestivum (bread wheat). RNAcentral describes it as "partial small subunit ribosomal RNA". Lineage: Eukaryota; Viridiplantae; Streptophyta; Magnoliopsida; Poales; Poaceae. The record is from RNAcentral.